CCAGGCCCGAUCCAUUUUCGUUCAAAAUAAGGGAAAAGGGUUUCCCUUAUUCCCUUUCACCGCCUCUUCUCCGCCUCCCUCUUCCCCUUUCCUCUUCUUCAUCGCCACCACAUCUUCGUCCGCCGCCUCCUUUCCGCCUCUUCUCUUUCCUUCUUCCUCCUCCCAUCACCGCCUCCAACCCCAUCGCCACCGCCGCGCCUCCUCAUUUCCCCUCUUUCGUCGUCGACUCUUCCCACGCUACACGCACCUCCACUAUCUCCCUCACCCCACUGCUUCAUCACCCACACCCAUACCUCCAUUUCACCAUCGUUACCCGCACCAUCCUCUGACACCACGUUACCCCCACUCGCGUCUGACAUCUCCACCAUAGCCUGUCCCCCACGCGUCUAUUCCCUCUCCACCUCCGCCUGCUCUGACACCACUACAUCUCCACCUUCUGUUGUUCCCCGCUCCCUUUCCCUUUAUUCAACACAAAAAUAAAUGGUAGAUCUAUAAAUGAGGGAGAAAAAUUCGAAUUAAGGGGGGGAUUUUUUUUUGGAUUCAGAAAAAUUCCAAAAGAGCCGAUUUUCUUUCAGUUCCAGAAAUCCCCUGUGAAAUAUUUUGUUUAGUUGUCACAAUAUCGCAAAAAAUAUCGAACAAAAAAUACUAAAAGGAUUUUUCGUCUGUUCUGUGUUUGUUGCGAAUCCGAGUUUCGCAACCUCGAAUUUGAAGUGUUUCGAGUGUGAAUCGAAGACCCGCACCCAUUUCGCUGCACUCGCAAAAGGUAGCAACCCCCUUGUCUAUUCAUUUCCUAUUUUCCUUUUUUUUUUUAGUUACCUGUAUGCAUAUAUGUUUAUGUGCCAGCUUAGUUAGCAAAAACAUGAUUUCCUGUGUUAGUUUAGUUUAGUAGUUAAGCCUGUUUAUAUGUUAGUCCCAGCUUAAUUUAUCGAAUCCUAUACAUUAGCUUAGUUUACAAAAACAUGAUUUCCUGUGUUAGUUUAGUUUAGUAGUUAAGCCUGUUUAUAUGUUAGUCCCAGCUUAAUUUAUCGAAUCCUAUACAUUAGCUUAGUUUAGUUUUAUGCAGUCAAAUAUGUCUUAUGUGUUAUUAUGCCCUGAGAUAUUAAGCAUGAUCUAGUUCUUUUCUUAGCUGGUUCAGUCAAAUACGCCUCAGAAAUUAUGUUGGCUCUAGUCUGCCUGUAUUAAACAUUCAUAUAUUGGUUUUGCUUUAGUUCAUCAUGAUUUGUGUGAUGUUCUUGUUAUGGUUGAUCGAUUGGCUAUUGUAUAGCAAGAUUCAGAUGUUUUUUUUUUCGUAGUCUGGCUGCGAGGUACAUGUUGGUCUAGUUCCUGCCUAUCGUUCGCUUAAAGCCUGGUUUUGCUAUUGUUUGCUGUUGUUCUGUUGCCAGGAUAGAUGUGGUGUCUUCGCAUGUAAAUUAAUUUGAAGUGAGGCUGAAACUCUAGCAUGACUGCCUGAUAUUGGUAUUCAUUUAAGUUUGAUGUAGAAACUGUUUUGAGUUGUUUUGUGCUGAAUCAUGUGUCUUAAUCCUUUAAUAGAUAUUCCUUGCUUGUUUUUCUUAUACCAAUUUGAAGAGAUGCUUAGAUAAAAGCUUAACCCCAAAGUGAUCCUAAAUUGUUAAGAGGGUGCUAGUGAACUCACGUUGGAAUAUAUGGUAGUCUGUAAUGCAUUGGUACUGGGCAUAGUUGUUUAGUUUACAUAUGUGUUUGUUUGAGCAUGUCUUGUAGGCCCUUCUGACCACUUAUGCCCAUUUGCACAUCUUUCCUUUUUGCCCCCCCCUUAAGUGUAGAAAGCAUAUCUCCAGUUCCAGUGAUAACAUUAAGUUAUGCGAAAUCAGAUGACUGCUAGGAUUGAGCCUCGAUUCAGAAUUUCUAUGUUUGUUGCUCUCUAACAAGAUUGAGAAAGUUUUGUUUACCUUGCUCAAAUAUAAGAGUUCUACAUAAUGUUUGGCACUAGCAUAAGCUCAUCCCUCAUGCCUGUCCCCAGCAUGCCAUCCUCAAAUCACCAACAUGUACUCAAUAUGCAUGAACUUCGAUUGCUAGUAUGUGCCUUCACGUAAUUGUAUAUGCUUGCAUAUUCUUUUUUUUUCCUUUUAAAAUGACUUGCUGUUUGAAUGCUUGUUCGAAUAUCUAAGGGUGAUGUAAACCCUUUUUUCUGUGAAUUGUGAACGGGUUUCAGUUCUCUUUUUUUUCCUUUUGUUGAGAACCUGCUUGGGGGUUGUUUGGUCGUCUCUUUAUGCAUUCAAACACAUGCAGAAAUCUCAAACCUGUUUUCCAUAGUUUGAUAUCUUCUUUUCUGGGUGUACUUAAGUGUACAUUUUUAGCUUUUGGUUGUUUUGCUCAAGAUAAAACAAAAAUCUGGAAAACAGUCCUCAUCCCACUCAUAUGUCAAAAAAUGGAAUAACUUCUCAUCUUAUGAAUAACAUGUUUGAAAUUGCUACUUAUGAACUUGAGAGUGAGAUCCGACAAGGAAUCUCGUGCAUAUCGGCAUAGCUAGUUGAAAUAUUUCAGAACAUGAGUUGAUUCUGUGUUUCGCAUUGGCUGUUGUAUGGUGAUUGUUUGGGAAUAUCCUCAAUAUACUUAUAAGCAUUUCAAUUUUAUUAAGGCAAGGGGCAUACACUUGAUAUACAUGUGAUAUGUGCAUCCAGGUGUACAUAUCUUAGGAAUAUCAUGUAUACGACUAAGAUUGGCAGAAUACAUAAGGCCCAUAUUUUCCUCAGUUUAGAAAACUGAAGCCAGCGAAAUUGCUAUUGAGUUAGAUAUUAAAUUUUCAAGUAUCAUUCACUAUCAUGCCGUCAUAUCAGUAAAAUAUGUAUUUGUGCAAGAAAUAAUAUGUUGCAAAUAUUGGUUUGUUUUUUGAGAACUUACAAUAUAUAUAUAUAUAUAUAUAUAUAUAUAUAUAUAUAUAUGUUUAGCCUCCGUUGAUUACAUGCUAAUCCUUUUCUUUUCAUUUUUGCAUGAUCACCACAUACGAGUCCGAGUGACUCGUUCUUCGUCCAUAUUCGGUGUUGGGCUAAAAGCCCAACAGAAUCUUCUACGUGUUCAAGGCCCAACAGUAGCAGAUCAGUCAUCCCUCAAAAUGGGCUGAGCCCAUGUCCGACUGCAGCAGCCCCUUUCUUACAAAAAAUGGGCUGAAUCCAUCUGAAUUAUUUCCCCCUUUAUUUAUUUAUGCAUUUAAUUUGUAUUAUGCAACUAACUCUUUGUUUGUUUUGUUUUCUUAGUUUAGAUAAAUCCUAAUAAAUUAGGAGGUUAGUUUUAGUGAUGGGUAGUUAGUUUAAGGAAUACUAACAAUUAAUUUCAUAAGUUAAUACUAUUCUUUUCAUGCUUCA
Molecule: long non-coding RNA, 3320 nt
Organism: Lycium barbarum (goji berry)
Lineage: Eukaryota; Viridiplantae; Streptophyta; Magnoliopsida; Solanales; Solanaceae
Exons: 2
Source: RefSeq, a predicted model, not a curated record